RNAcentral lists this ribosomal RNA (347 nucleotides) under uncultured bacterium. RNAcentral's name for it is "bacterial SSU rRNA". It matches the Rfam family "Bacterial small subunit ribosomal RNA", at positions 493 to 834 of the family's 1533-position model. The record is from RNAcentral.
CUCGCGUGUCGUGUCAGCAGCCGCGGUAAUACAGAGGGUGCAAGCGUUAAUCGGAAUUACUGGGCGUAAAGCGCGCGUAGGUGGUUCGUUAAGUUGGUAUGUGAAAUCCCCGGGCUCAACCUGGGAACUGCAUUCAAAACUGUCGAGCUAGAGUAUGGGUAGAGGGUGGUGGUAAUUUCCUGUGUAGCGGUGAAAUGCGUAGAUAAUAGGAAGGAACACCAGUGCGAAGGCGACCACCGUGGACUGAUACUGACACUGAGGUGCGAAAGGCGUGGGGAGCGAAACAGGAUUACGAUACCCUGGUAGUCCAACGCGUAAACGAUGUCAACUAGCCGUUGGGAGCCUUG